RNAcentral lists this ribosomal RNA (396 nucleotides) under uncultured bacterium. RNAcentral's name for it is "partial 16S ribosomal RNA". It matches the Rfam family "Bacterial small subunit ribosomal RNA", at positions 523 to 918 of the family's 1533-position model. The record is from RNAcentral.
AUACGUAGGGGGCGAGCGUUGUCCGGAAUGAUUGGGCGUAAAGGGCGCGUAGGCGGCGCGGUAGUCUGGAGUGAAAGUCCUGCUUUCAAGGUGGGAAUUGCUUUGGAUACUGCCGCGCUUGAGUGCAGGAGAGGUUAUCGGAAUUCCCGGUGUAGCGGUGAAAUGCGUAGAGAUCGGGAGGAACACCAGUGGCGAAGGCGGGUAACUGGACUGCAACUGACGCUGAGGCGCGAAAGUGUGGGGAGCAAACAGGAUUAGAUACCCUGGUAGUCCACACUGUAAACGAUGAAUGCUAGGUGUAAGAGGUAUCGACCCCUUCUGUGCCGCAGUCAACACAAUAAGCAUUCCGCCUGGGGAGUACGGCCGCAAGGUUGAAACUUAAAGGAAUUGACGGGG